RNAcentral lists this ribosomal RNA (524 nucleotides) under uncultured bacterium. Its description in RNAcentral is "partial 16S ribosomal RNA". It matches the Rfam family "Bacterial small subunit ribosomal RNA", at positions 28 to 523 of the family's 1533-position model. The record is from RNAcentral.
GACGAACGCUGGCGGCGUGCUUAACACAUGCAAGUCGAACGGACAGACAGAGAGCUUGCUCUCUUGAAGUUAGCGGCGAACGGGUGAGUAACGCGUAAUCAACCUGCCCUUCAGAGGGGGAUAACAACGGGAAACCGUUGCUAAUACCGCGUACGAUUCAUGAACGGCAUCGUUUAUGAAUGAGAGGUGGCCUCUAUGUAUAAGCUAUCGCUGAAGGAGGGGAUUGCGUCUGAUUAGCUGGUUGGAGGGGUAACGGCCCACCAAGGCAAUGAUCAGUAGCCGGUCUGAGAGGAUGACCGGCCACAUUGGGACUGAGACACGGCCCAAACUCCUACGGGAGGCAGCAGUGGGGAAUCUUCCGGAAUGGACGAAAGUCUGACGGAGCAACGCAGCGUGAGUGAUGAAGGUCUUCGGAUUGUAAAGCUCUGUUAAUCGGGACGAAAGAGUUCUGCGUGAAUAAUGCAGAAAAGUGACGGUACCGGAAUAGGAAGCCACGGCUAACUACGUGCCAGCCGCCGCCGUAA